CACUGACGGUCACGCACGAAAGUGUGGGGAGCUAUCAGGAUUAGAUACCUUGCUAGUUCAAGCCCUAAUCGAUGUCUGAUAGUGGUGGGGUCUUAUUUGACUUGGUAACGCAGCUAACGCGUGAAGUAGACCACUAGGGGAGUACGGUCGCAAGAUUAAAAGUCAAAGGAAUUGACGGGGCCCCGCACAAGCGGUGGAUGAUGUGGAUUAAUUCGAUGCAACGCGAAAAACCUUACCUACCCUUGACAUGGAUGGAAUCAAGAAGAGAUUUGGGAGUGCUCGAAAGAGAACCAUCACACAGGUGCUGCAUGGCUGUCGUCAGCUCGGCUCGUGUGAUGUUGGGUUAAGUCCCGCAACGUGCGCAACCCUUGUCAUUAGCAGCUAGGAAAGGGCUCUUUAAUGAGCAUGCCGGGAUCAAACCGGAGGAAGGUGGGGACGACGUCAAGUCCUCAUGGCCAUUAUGGGUAGGGCUUCACCAGUCAUACAAUGGUUCAUACAGAGGGCUGCCAAGCCGCGAGGGGGAGUUAAUCCCAGAAAGUGUAUGGUAGUCCGGAUCGGAGUCCGCAAUUCGAGUCCAUGAAGUUGGAUUCGCUAGUAAUCGCGGAUCAGCAUGUCGCGGUGAAUACGUUCCCGGGUCUUGUACACAC
Molecule: ribosomal RNA, 647 nt
Filed under: uncultured bacterium
Lineage: Bacteria
Description: bacterial SSU rRNA
Rfam family: Bacterial small subunit ribosomal RNA
Source: RNAcentral